Molecule: unclassified non-coding RNA, 322 nt
Filed under: uncultured fungus
Lineage: Eukaryota; Fungi
Description: partial contains small subunit ribosomal RNA, internal transcribed spacer 1, and 5.8S ribosomal RNA
Rfam family: Eukaryotic small subunit ribosomal RNA (bases 1-73)
Source: RNAcentral
CCAAACUUGGUCAUUUAGAGGAAGUAAAAGUCGUAACAAGGUUUCCGUAGGUGAACCUGCGGAAGGAUCAUUAUCGAGUUUUGAAACGGGUUGUAGCUGGCUUCAAACGAAGCAUGUGCACGCCUGGCUCAUUCCACUCUUCAACCUCUGUGCACCUAUUGUAGAUCGGUGUAAAGGUUAGUUUGUAACAGAACUAGCUGUAAAGCCUUUCUACGUUUUACUAUAAACGCUUCAGUUAUAGAAUGUAUCAUCGCGUAUAACGCAUCUUUAUACAACUUUCAGCAACGGAUCUCUUGGCUCUCGCAUCGAUGAAGAACGCAGC